Molecule: small RNA, 100 nt
Filed under: Pan troglodytes (chimpanzee)
Lineage: Eukaryota; Metazoa; Chordata; Mammalia; Primates; Hominidae
Description: processed transcript
Source: RNAcentral
GGAUGCUUCCAACAAGGAUUGGUGGUGGGGCCAGAUCGACGAUGAGGAGGGAUGGUUUCCUGCCAGCUUUGUGAGGUCAAAGUCAUCUAGAAUAUCCAGA